RNAcentral lists this ribosomal RNA (499 nucleotides) under uncultured bacterium. RNAcentral describes it as "partial 16S ribosomal RNA". It matches the Rfam family "Bacterial small subunit ribosomal RNA", at positions 28 to 507 of the family's 1533-position model. The record is from RNAcentral.
GAUGAACGCUGGCGGCGUGCCUAAUACAUGCAAGUCGAGCGAACAGACGAGAGUGCUUGCACUCUCUGACGUUAGCGGCGGCCGGGUGAGUAACACGUGGGUAACCUACCUAUAAGACUGGGAUAACUUCGGGAAACCGGAGCUAAUACCGGAUAAUAUUUAGCUUCGCAUGAAGCAAUAGUGAAAGACGGUUCUGCUGUCACUUAUAGAUGGACCCGCGGUGUAUUAGCUAGUUGGUGAGGUAACGGCUCACCAAGGCAACGAUACAUAGCCGACCUGAGAGGGUGAUCGGCCACACUGGGACUGAGACACGGCCCAGACUCCUACGGGAGGCAGCAGUAGGGAAUCUUCCGCAAUGGACGAAAGUCUGACGGAGCAGUGCCGCGUGAGUGAAGAAGGUUUUCGGAUCGUAAAACUCUGUUGUAAGGGAAGAACAAGUACGUUAGUAACUGAACGUACCUUGACGGUACCUUACCAGAAAGCCACGGCUAACUACGUG